UGGGGAAUAUUGGACAAUGGGGGCAACCCUGAUCCAGCAAUGCCGCGUGUGUGAAGAAGGCCUUCGGGUUGUAAAGCACUUUUAUCGGGAACGAAACAUUGUCGGCCAAUACCCGGCAAGACUGACGGUACCCGAGGAAUAAGCACCGGCUAACUCCGUGCCAGCAGCCGCGGUAAUACGGAGGGUGCAAGCGUUAAUCGGAAUUACUGGGCGUAAAGCGUGCGCAGGCGGUCUGUUAAGUCUGCUGUGAAAUCCCCGAGCUCAACUUGGGAAUUGCAGUGGAUACUGGCAGGCUGGAGUACGGUAGAGGAAGGUGGAAUUCCCGGUGUAGCAGUGAAAUGCGUAGAGAUCGGGAGGAACACCAGUGGCGAAGGCGGCCUUCUGGACCAGUACUGACGCU
This 400-nucleotide ribosomal RNA is filed under the name uncultured bacterium. Its description in RNAcentral is "bacterial SSU rRNA". It matches the Rfam family "Bacterial small subunit ribosomal RNA", at positions 355 to 747 of the family's 1533-position model. The record is from RNAcentral.